AGCAGCCGCGGUAAUUCCAGCUCCAAUAGCGUAUAUUAAAGUUGUUGCAGUUAAAAAGCUCGUAGUUGAAUUUCGGGAUCGAAUUGUUGGUCGUGCUUCGGUACGCACUGGCAUUAUCGGUUUCUACCUUCUGAAGAACCGCGAUGUCAUUAAUUUGGUGUCGUGGGGAAUCAGGACUGUUACUUUGAAAAAAUUAGAGUGUUUAAAGCAGGCUUACGCUUGAAUACAUUAGCAUGGAAUAAUGAAAUAGGACGUUUGAUUCUAUUUUGUUGGUUUCUAGGAUCGACGUAAUGAUUAAUAGGGAUAGUUGGGGGCAUUAGUAUUCAAUUGUCAGAGGUGAAAUUCUUGGAUUUAUUGAAGACUAACUACUGCGAAAGCAUUUGCCAAGGAUGUUUUCAUUAAUCAAGAACGAAAGUUAGGGGAUCGAAGACGAUCAGAUACCGUCGUAAUCUUAACCAUAAACUAUGCCGACUAGGGAUCGGAUGAUGUUAAUUUUAUAAUGACUC
RNAcentral lists this ribosomal RNA (506 nucleotides) under uncultured Glomeromycotina. RNAcentral's name for it is "SSU rRNA". It matches the Rfam family "Eukaryotic small subunit ribosomal RNA", at positions 569 to 1077 of the family's 1831-position model. Lineage: Eukaryota; Fungi; Glomeromycota. The record is from RNAcentral.